RNAcentral lists this ribosomal RNA (429 nucleotides) under Actinomycetes bacterium. RNAcentral's name for it is "Actinobacteria bacterium partial 16S ribosomal RNA". It matches the Rfam family "Bacterial small subunit ribosomal RNA", at positions 355 to 776 of the family's 1533-position model. The record is from RNAcentral. Lineage: Bacteria; Bacillati; Actinomycetota; Actinomycetes.
UAGGGAAUCUUCCGCAAUGGGCGAAAGCCUGACGGAGCAACGCCGCGUGAGUGAUGAAGGUCUUCGGAUCGUAAAACUCUGUUAUUAGGGAAGAACAAAUGUGUAAGUAACUAUGCACGUCUUGACGGUACCUAAUCAGAAAGCCACGGCUAACUACGUGCCAGCAGCCGCGGUAAUACGUAGGUGGCAAGCGUUAUCCGGAAUUAUUGGGCGUAAAGCGCGCGUAGGCGGUUUUUUAAGUCUGAUGUGAAAGCCCACGGCUCAACCGUGGAAGGUCAUUGGAAACUGGAAAACUUGAGUGCAGAAGAGGAAAGUGGAAUUCCAUGUGUAGCGGUGAAAUGCGCAGAGAUAUGGAGGAACACCAGUGGCGAAGGCGACUUUCUGGUCUGUAACUGACGCUGAUGUGCGAAAGCGUGGGGAUCAAACAGG